This 28-nucleotide non-coding RNA is filed under the name Mus musculus (house mouse). Lineage: Eukaryota; Metazoa; Chordata; Mammalia; Rodentia; Muridae. The record is from RNAcentral.
UGGGCAGAAACAGAAGGCCUAGGUGUGU